This 253-nucleotide ribosomal RNA is filed under the name uncultured bacterium. RNAcentral's name for it is "partial 16S ribosomal RNA". It matches the Rfam family "Bacterial small subunit ribosomal RNA", at positions 524 to 776 of the family's 1533-position model. The record is from RNAcentral.
UACGUAGGGUGCAAGCGUUAAUCGGAAUUACUGGGCGUAAAGCGUGCGCGGGCGGUUCGUUAAGUCUGAUGUGAAAGCCCCGGGCUCAACCUGGGAAUGGCAUGGGAAACUGGCGAGCUGGAGUGUGGCAGAGGGGGGUGGAAUUCCGCGUGUAGCAGUGAAAUGCGUAGAGAUGCGGAGGAACACCGAUGGCGAAGGCAGCCCCCUGGGCUAACACUGACGCUGAGGCACGAAAGCGUGGGGAGCAAACAGG